CGUAAAGAGCAUGUAGGCUGAUUAGUAAGUUGGAAGUGAAAUCCUAUGGCUCAACCAUAGAACUGCUCCAAACUGUUAUCUAGAGUAUGGGAGAGGUAGAUGGAAUUCUGGUGUAGGGGUAAAAUCCGUAGAGAUCAGAAGGAAUACCGAUUGCGAAGGCGAUCUACUGGAACAUUACUGACGCUGAGAUGCGAAAGCGUGGGGAGCAAACAGGAUUAGAUACCCUGGUAGUCCACGCCCUAAACGAUGCACACUAGUUGUUGCUAUGCUAGACAUAGCAGUAAUGCAGUUAACACAGUAAGUGUGCCGCCUGGGGAGUACGGUCGCAAGAUUAAAACUCAAAGGAAUAGACGGGGACCCGCACAAGCGGUGGAGCAUGUGGUUUAAUUCGACGAUACGCGAAGAACCUUACCCGGCCUUGACAUAGUAAGAAUCUAAUAGAGAUAUAAGAGUGCUAGUUUACUAGAGCUUACAUACAGGUGCUGCACGGCUGUCGUCAGCUCGUGUCGUGAGAUGUUGGGUUAAGUCCCGCAACGAGCGCAACCCUCGUGUUUAGUUACUAACAGUUCGGCUGAGGACUCUAGACAGACUGCCUGGGUAACCAGGAGGAAGGUGUGGACGACGUCAAGUCAUCAUGGCCCUUACGUCCAGGGCUACACACGUGCUACAAUGGGGUAUACAAAGAGCCGCGAUACCGUGAGGUGGAGCAAAUCUCAUAAAAUAUCUCCCAGUUCGGAUAGAAGUCUGCAACUCGACUUCAUGAAGUUGGAAUCGCUAGUAAUCGUGGAUCAGCAAUGCUACGGUGAAUACGUUCCCGGGUCUUGUACUCACCGCCCGUCACACCAUGGGAGUUGAUUUCAUUCGAAGCGGGGAUGCUAAAAUAGCUACCUUCCACAGUGGAAUUAGUAACUAGGGUGAAGUCGUAACAAGGUAACC
Molecule: ribosomal RNA, 936 nt
Filed under: uncultured bacterium
Lineage: Bacteria
Description: bacterial SSU rRNA
Rfam family: Bacterial small subunit ribosomal RNA
Source: RNAcentral